UACGUAGGGGGCAAGCGUUGUCCGGAUUUAUUGGGCGUAAAGAGCGUGUAGGCGGUUUGGUAGGUCCGCUGUGAAAACUCGAGGCUCAACCUCGAGACGCCGAUGGAAACCAUCAGACUAGAGUCCGGAAGAGGAGAGUGGAAUUCCUGGUGUAGCGGUGAAAUGCGCAGAUAUCAGGAAGAACACCCGUGGCUAAGGCGGCUCUCUAGUACGGUACUGACGCUGAGACGCGAAAGCGUGGGGAGCGAACAGG
RNAcentral lists this ribosomal RNA (253 nucleotides) under uncultured bacterium. RNAcentral's name for it is "partial 16S ribosomal RNA". It matches the Rfam family "Bacterial small subunit ribosomal RNA", at positions 524 to 776 of the family's 1533-position model. The record is from RNAcentral.